GCACAGGAGGGCAGGAGGGAGCUGGACCGAAGAAGGGCUGGGGCGAAGCUAAACAUCCUCCUCUCCUCCACUCCUUUCUAUUGCUCUGGUGAGGGCUGAAUAUUUGCAGGGGCUGGUUGGAAAGACCUAAUUUUAGUAUGAACUUUGAGUUGUGGGGGUGAGUUGAAUGGCGAAGGCAUUCUGCACAUGAUCCGAGGCAAUCCUGCCACAGCUCACGGGUGGCGU
Pseudonaja textilis is the source of this 225-nucleotide non-coding RNA. Lineage: Eukaryota; Metazoa; Chordata; Lepidosauria; Squamata; Elapidae. The record is from RefSeq and is a predicted model, not a curated record.